UUAGCUGGGGUAGCUACUCUAUACAAACUAGAGCGGCGUUUGAUGCGUCAUGUGCGGUAUAUGGUCCUGUUAAUAAGGAGAGUUAGGGUUAGUUACUUUAGGGAUAACAGCGCAAUAUUUUUGGGGAGACCGUAUCUAUAUAGAUGAUUGCGACCUCGAUGUUGAAUUAAAAGUUCACCGUGGGGCAGAGAAUACGGGGGAUGGUUUGUUCAACCUUUAAAUUUUUACAUGAUCAGAGUUCAGACCGGA
This 249-nucleotide ribosomal RNA is filed under the name Alicella sp. HR-2016. RNAcentral's name for it is "partial 16S ribosomal RNA". It matches the Rfam family "Bacterial large subunit ribosomal RNA", at positions 2270 to 2620 of the family's 2925-position model. Lineage: Eukaryota; Metazoa; Arthropoda; Malacostraca; Amphipoda; Alicellidae. The record is from RNAcentral.